This 430-nucleotide ribosomal RNA is filed under the name uncultured Actinomycetes bacterium. Its description in RNAcentral is "bacterial SSU rRNA". It matches the Rfam family "Bacterial small subunit ribosomal RNA", at positions 917 to 1348 of the family's 1533-position model. Lineage: Bacteria; Bacillati; Actinomycetota; Actinomycetes. The record is from RNAcentral.
GGGCCCGCACAAGCGGCGGAGCAUGUGGCUUAAUUCGACGCAACGCGAAGAACCUUACCAAGGCUUGACAUGCAGGGAAAUCCGGCAGAGAUGUCGGUUCCCUUGUGGCCUGUGUGCAGGUGGUGCAUGGCUGUCGUCAGCUCGUGUCGUGAGAUGUUGGGUUAAGUCCCGCAACGAGCGCAACCCUCGUUCCAUGUUGCCAGCGGGUUAUGCCGGGGACUCAUAGGAGACUGCCGGGGUCAACUCGGAGGAAGGUGGGGAUGACGUCAAAUCAUCAUGCCCCUUAUGUCUUGGGCUUCACGCAUGCUACAAUGGCCGGUACAAAGGGCUGCGAUACCGUAAGGUGGAGCGAAUCCCAAAAAGCCGGUCUCAGUUCGGAUUGAGGUCUGCAACUCGACCUCAUGAAGUCGGAGUCGCUAGUAAUCGCAGA